AGGCCACAAUGUAGGUAAUAUAGCAAGCAAGCAGUGACCUAAAAAGUGGUCGGGAAAACCGGACAUGACCAACCCUCACCCGAGCAGCAUGACGACAAAGCAGAUUGCUAAUUGCUCUUCGUAUCUUUUUCUCUGUUUUUUCUCUCUAUAAACAAAGAAACACUACUGGCUAUUUUUUUUAUCUUGCCUUUUUUUGGGUGGGAAAUGUGAAAAGCAGGUCUGGACUGAGUAGGUAGUAUAUUCGCCGGGAUGUUCGGUAGUGCUAUCUUGUGCUCGUACUGAUUAAAAACGAAUUAGCUCUGCUAACUAAUGGUAUCC
RNAcentral lists this long non-coding RNA (318 nucleotides) under Brachypodium distachyon (stiff brome). RNAcentral's name for it is "long non-coding RNA (BDIS_LNC003771)". Lineage: Eukaryota; Viridiplantae; Streptophyta; Magnoliopsida; Poales; Poaceae. The record is from RNAcentral.